GGAAUUGACGGGGGCCCGCACAAGCGGUGGAGCAUGUGGUUUAAUUCGAAGCAACGCGAAGAACCUUACCAGGUCUUGACAUCCUCUGACAACCCUAGAGAUAGGGCUUUCCCCUUCGGGGGACAGAGUGACAGGUGGUGCAUGGUUGUCGUCAGCUCGUGUCGUGAGAUGUUGGGUUAAGUCCCGCAACGAGCGCAACCCUUGAUCUUAGUUGCCAGCAUUCAGUUGGGCACUCUAAGGUGACUGCCGGUGACAAACCGGAGGAAGGUGGGGAUGACGUCAAAUCAUCAUGCCCCUUAUGACCUGGGCUACACACGUGCUACAAUGGAUGGUACAAAGGGCUGCAAACCUGCGAAGGUAAGCGAAUCCCAUAAAGCCAUUCUCAGUUCGGAUUGUAGGCUGCAACUCGCCUACAUGAAGCCGGAAUCGCUAGUAAUCGCGGAUCAGCAUGCCGCGGUGAAUACGUUCCCG
Molecule: ribosomal RNA, 471 nt
Filed under: Bacillus sp. (in: firmicutes)
Lineage: Bacteria; Bacillati; Bacillota; Bacilli; Caryophanales; Bacillaceae
Description: bacterial SSU rRNA
Rfam family: Bacterial small subunit ribosomal RNA
Source: RNAcentral